This 253-nucleotide ribosomal RNA is filed under the name uncultured bacterium. RNAcentral describes it as "partial 16S ribosomal RNA". It matches the Rfam family "Bacterial small subunit ribosomal RNA", at positions 524 to 776 of the family's 1533-position model. The record is from RNAcentral.
UACGUAGGGCGCAAGCGUUAUCCGGAAUUAUUGGGCGUAGAGAGCUCGUAGGCGGUUUGUCGCGUCUGCUGUGAAAGACCGGGGCUCAACUCCGGUUCUGCAGUGGGUACGGGCAGACUAGAGUGAUGUAGGGGAGACUGGAAUUCCUGGUGUAGCGGUGAAAUGCGCAGAUAUCAGGAGGAACACCGAUGGCGAAGGCAGGUCUCUGGGCAUUAACUGACGCUGAGGAGCGAAAGCAUGGGGAGCGAACAGG